AUUGAACGCUGGCGGCAGGCCUAACACAUGCAAGUCGAGCGAGCGGCGGACGGGUGAGUAAUGUCUGGGAAACUGCCUGAUGGAGGGGGAUAACUACUGGAAACGGUAGCUAAUACCGCAUACCAUCAGAUGUGCCCAGGUGGGAGUAGCUAGUAGGUGGGGUAACGGCUCACCUAGGCGACGAUCCCUAGCUGGUCGGAGAGGAUGACCAGCCACACUGGAACUGAUACACGGUCCAUACUCCUACGGGGGGCAGCAUUGGGGAAUAUUGCACAAUGGGCGCAAGCCUGAUGCAGCCAGGCCGCGUGUGUGAAGAAGGCCUUCGGGUUGUAAAGCACUUUCAGCGGGGAGGCGUUACCCGCAGAAGAAGCACCGGCUAACUCCGUGCCAGCCGCCGCGGUAAUAU
This 406-nucleotide ribosomal RNA is filed under the name uncultured bacterium. Its description in RNAcentral is "partial 16S ribosomal RNA". It matches the Rfam family "Bacterial small subunit ribosomal RNA", at positions 30 to 526 of the family's 1533-position model. The record is from RNAcentral.